AGCGGCGGACGGGUUAGUAACGCGUGGGAAUAUACCCUUUACUACGGAAUAGCCUCGGGAAACUGAGAGUAAUACCGUAUACGCCCUUCGGGGGAAAGAUUUAUCGGUAAAGGAUUAGCCCGCGUCUGAUUAGAUAGUUGGUGGGGUAAUGGCCUACCAAGUCUACGAUCAGUAGCUGGUUUGAGAGGAUGAUCAGCAACACUGGGACUGAGACACGGCCCAGACUCCUACGGGAGGCAGCAGUGGGGAAUCUUAGACAAUGGGCGCAAGCCUGAUCUAGCCAUGCCGCGUGAGUGACGAAGGCCUUAGGGUCGUAAAGCUCUUUCGCCAGGGAAGAUAAUGACUGUACCUGGUAAAGAAACCCCGGCUAACUCCGUGCCAGCAGCCGCGGUAAUACGGAGGGGGUUAGCGUUGUUCGGAAUUACUGGGCGUAAAGCGCACGUAGGCGGAUCAGAAAGUAAGAGGUGAAAUCCCAGGGCUCAACCCUGGAACUGCCUUUUAAACUCCUGGUCUUGAGUUCGAGAGAGGUGAGUGGAAUUCCGAGUGUAGAGGUGAAAUUCGUAGAUAUUCGGAGGAACACCAGUGGCGAAGCGGCUCACUGGCUCGAUACUGACGCUGAGUGCGAAAGCGUGGGGAGCAACAGGAUUAGAUACCCUGUAGUCGCGCGA
RNAcentral lists this ribosomal RNA (668 nucleotides) under uncultured bacterium. Its description in RNAcentral is "bacterial SSU rRNA". It matches the Rfam family "Bacterial small subunit ribosomal RNA", at positions 94 to 802 of the family's 1533-position model. The record is from RNAcentral.